Molecule: ribosomal RNA, 497 nt
Filed under: uncultured bacterium
Lineage: Bacteria
Description: partial 16S ribosomal RNA
Rfam family: Bacterial small subunit ribosomal RNA
Source: RNAcentral
GACGAACGCUGGCGGCGUGCCUAAUACAUGCAAGUUGAGCGAUGAAGCUUGGUGCUUGCACCAAUUUGAAGAGCAGCGAACGGGUGAGUAACGCGUGGGGAAUCUGCCUUUGAGCGGGGGACAACAUUUGGAAACGAAUGCUAAUACCGCAUAACAACUUUAAACAUAAGUUUUAAGUUUGAAAGAUGCAAUUGCAUCACUCAAAGAUGAUCCCGCGUUGUAUUAGCUAGUUGGUGAGGUAAAGGCUCACCAAGGCGAUGAUACAUAGCCGACCUGAGAGGGUGAUCGGCCACAUUGGGACUGAGACACGGCCCAAACUCCUACGGGAGGCAGCAGUAGGGAAUCUUCGGCAAUGGGCGAAAGUCUGACCGAGCAACGCCGCGUGAGUGAAGAAGGUUUUCGGAUCGUAAAACUCUGUUGGUAGAGAAGAACGUUGGUGAGAGUGGAAAGCUCAUCAAGUGACGGUAACUACCCAGAAAGGGACGGCUAACUACGUG